UACGUAGGGUGCAAGCGUUGUCCGGAAUUAUUGGGCGUAAAGAGCUUGUAGGCGGUUUGUCGCGUCUGCUGUGAAAUUUCGGGGCUCAACCCCGAACUUGCAGUGGGUACGGGCAGACUAGAGUGUGGUAGGGGAGACUGGAAUUCCUGGUGUAGCGGUGAAAUGCGCAGAUAUCGGGAGGAACACCUGUGGCGAAGGCGGCCAUCUGGACGGUAACUGACGCUGAGACGCGAAAGCGUGGGUAGCAAACAGG
RNAcentral lists this ribosomal RNA (253 nucleotides) under uncultured bacterium. Its description in RNAcentral is "partial 16S ribosomal RNA". It matches the Rfam family "Bacterial small subunit ribosomal RNA", at positions 524 to 776 of the family's 1533-position model. The record is from RNAcentral.